RNAcentral lists this long non-coding RNA (321 nucleotides) under Linum usitatissimum (flax). Its description in RNAcentral is "long non-coding RNA (LUSI_LNC002572)". The record is from RNAcentral. Lineage: Eukaryota; Viridiplantae; Streptophyta; Magnoliopsida; Malpighiales; Linaceae.
UAAUCUGAUUGGGUAAGAGCUUGGUAUGAACAGUGGAACCUGAUCGAAGAAAGAAUGCUACGUGCUAUAUGUCACCUACCAAUACUAACAAGCCCUCUCUGCAUUGCAUUGCCCAAGACCUAACCUUUUCCCUAGCUUUCACUAUGUUACGCUUAACUCGGUUGAAGGCUCGGUGAUACCUCGUCUUGAAAGCGCAAGUUCAGCGCCCUGUUAAGUAGGAGUUUGGUAAACUUAAAGCUUUAAGCGCUAGGUGAGUAGCUGCUUUGAUAAGAAGUCGCUUUCUUCCUCCCUUCAAAAGCCCCUACUUUUGGGAAGUUCAAA